GUCUGCACCCGUCCGUGUGCGGCUCCCCAACAAAGGCGCCCUUCACGAGUUCGAGGACUCCGGGGGGCGCCUUGGCCCUGCGGGACCCUUCCCUCCGCUCGCGGGCUAACAGCACCCCCCCUAGGGUUCGGGGAGCCCGCUCCAUGCCAGUGACUCGUCCCCGGCCCCCCUCCCGCGGUCUGGACCCCGCAAGCCAAGCCCCUGCCAAAGCGCGUGCUCGGCAACCCCGUCCCUGGCGGGAAGCGCAGGCGGCUUCAGGCGCCUCGGCGUGGGUCUGGUGGGCGGGCCUACUUUCCCGCCUUUUCUUCGCUGUCCUUCACCUUCAGCACCAAACUCCAGCCCCAGGGACAUCUGGGCUGGUCCCUGCUCCCUGGGCUUGCCGGGACCCCCCUGUGGCUCACGGCCAACCCGUCCUCUAGGCUGCCGCGCUGUGCGGGGUCCUUGGCAACCCGCUCCCCAGCCCCUGAUUAGUGUCUCCGCUUCUUUCACAGCAGGGGGGCAGCCCUUGCCCCACCCCAAGUUUAAGCAUCAGCGGCACAUCUGGUGUGGCCCACCAGGCGCCUGGUGUCUGUCUCCCUGGCAGGCGGGUCGCUACCCCAUCAGGUUCCCGAGGCCCUGUGUGUAUGUUGGGGACACAGAAAAGUGCAGGGAGCUUGACAGAUCAGUUCCCUUAGCACUGCGGCUCAGGGAGACUAAGGGCCGUAACAGGAUAGCUGCUUCAGGGCAGAGGGGAAAAACCGGGUUCAAGGAGCACUGGGGGUGUGGUACUGUCAAAGGGGGUGCAGGCAAACCUCAGAGGGAAGCUAGAAGAGCGAGGGAGUGUUCAUGGAAAAUCUGGAGAAGAGCCUGGCAGUCGAGGAACAGCAAAGGCCCCUGGCAUGGCCCAAGUGGCUACAGCAGGGUGACAGGACGCCGGCCGGGCUGGGAGAGGGACCUUUGGAACCUGCUGGCAUCAGGAUCCCUCUGGCUCCCACAUGUGAAGAGAGUGAGGGCGAAAGUAAGGAGCCCUCCGUAGUCCAGGAGGAGCAUGCGGGUGCCAGGGCCAGGGUGACUGCAGAGGAGGGAUGAGAAGAGCAUUCCAGGUACAUGUUGGAGAAGUUGAUGGCUGGACGCAGAGCAGGAAGGAAGGAGCUGACUCAGGCUUUGGCCUCUGUCCACCUGUUGAAUUUAAAUCUGGCCACUGGGCCUUCUGCCGCUGUCUCCACGCCGCCGGACCUUGCCAGUCCCUCUGCUCUUCCCGUCUCCGGUAGCCUUUGAGACCUUCCAGCAUCUUGCCCGCCGCCUCUCCCAGCUUUCCUGCUCCUCCCUCUGCGUGACCUGGCCUUCUCUCCCACUCACCUUUUUUUUUUAGAGUGAUUUAUUUAUGCAUACAAGAACUGGGGUACAGGCCAGAGUUGUGGGGGUGAGAGGAUUCACCAGAGACAGUGGGGAUCAGAACAGGCAGACUGACUGAAAUACGGUGCUGAGGGGAGCAGCGGGCGAGUCAGGAGGUCUGCUGCGCCAUGUGGGUAGCUCCCUGGCCAGGGAUCGAACUCCAGCUGCAGUGGCUGCAGACAGCUUCAUAGGUUGCGUCUUAACCCCUUGCACCACCAGAGAGGCCUCCCAUUCACCUUUUUAUCCUACUUUGUGCUCUGGUACCGGGGCUCAGCAGCGAGCAUGGAGGCCCACAGACACCUCUGCAUCCCUGGAUCUUUUCUAGUGGGAGAGACUUGACACUCAAACUCCUCAAUUGUGUGACUUCAAGCAACCUCCUCUAACAUCUCUGCUUGGGUCCUUUCCAUUUUAAAAUGGGCCUUCCUCAGGUCUCUGGCACCCAAAAAGGAGUGGCAGACGGGUCCUGUACCCACUGCGUGCCGCUUUGUGUGAUUCAUGUUGCUAUUUCAGUGCCGCUGCUCUCAAGUGGGGAACCAGAGGACAAGGCUGUUUGGCAUCACCUCAUUCUUAGACCAUCACUCAUGCAACCAAGGCGAGACCGGAAGAGGUCAGCGUUGGGGACCGGAUUCUUUGCAGAGCAAACGCCCAAUUUCAAAGUUCUCCCCGUAUCAGGAGAAAAACAAAAAGCAGCUGGAGUCAAGGACGCUCAGCACGGGAGUGAGUGGGCCAGGGGCGGGUGGCAGCCCAGGACGCUGGAAGUUCUGUUUUUAUGGGAACAGUCACUGUCGGCGUGGGAAUUUAGACCAUCUGAGUUUCCUUCCUCAGUUGUCCACUUCAUGGCUGACACCUCUUGCUCCUGAACUUCCACCGUGGAAGAGAUCUUGUGACUUCUGACAAAAAGCUUACAGAGAAGCGAUGGGGUGUGGCGCUGCUCCUGUGAGUCAUGCGGGCUGUAUGUGCAGUCAUUGAUCAGAAACUAAACUUCAAGUUGGCCAGAAGCAAGAGUCCAUUGACAUGGAACCAAGAAGACAAGAAAAGGGCCCGGCUGGACCGCCGACAGAAAGGAAGGGGUCUGUCCACCAGGAAGACCCAGUCAUCUGAAAGAUCUCCCCUCUCUUGGACAGAUGAACUAUGCGAUAAACUGUAGCCAAGUCUCCAUUGCUUUGCCCUCAGCUUGUAGCCUGCAAAAUAUAACUCCUCUGUUCUCAGCCCCAAUCCCCCGAGAUCAGGAUAAACUCCUUCUCUCCCCUGGGUGGGAAGGCAGAUUUGAGCUUUGGCUCCUAUCUUCUUGCCAGGCAACUCCAAAAUUAAACCCUUUGCUCUCAA
Talpa occidentalis (Iberian mole) is the source of this 2700-nucleotide long non-coding RNA. RefSeq lists it as uncharacterized. NCBI's taxonomy places the organism in Eukaryota, Metazoa, Chordata, Mammalia, Eulipotyphla, Talpidae. The transcript has 3 exons. The record is from RefSeq and is a predicted model, not a curated record.